This 458-nucleotide ribosomal RNA is filed under the name uncultured bacterium. Its description in RNAcentral is "partial 16S ribosomal RNA". It matches the Rfam family "Bacterial small subunit ribosomal RNA", at positions 338 to 795 of the family's 1533-position model. The record is from RNAcentral.
CCUACGGGAGGCAGCAGUGAGGAAUAUUGGUCAAUGGGCGAGAGCCCGAACCAGCCAAGUCGCGUGAGGGAGUACUGCCCUAUGGGUUGUAAACCUCUUUUGUCGGGGAGCAAAAGCCGGACGUGUCCGGCUGUGAGAGUACCCGAAGAAAAAGCAUCGGCUAACUCCGUGCCAGCAGCCGCGGUAAUACGGGGGAUGCGAGCGUUAUCCGGAUUUAUUGGGGUAAAAGGGGGCGCAGGCGGAUUUUUAAGUCAGCGGUCAAAUCGUGGGGCUCAACCCCAUCCAGCCGUUGAAACUGGGGAUCUAGAGUGUGCGAGAGGUAUGCGGAAUGCGUGGUGUAGCGGUGAAAUGCAUAGAUAUCACGCAGAACCCCGAUUGCGAAGGCAGCAUACCGGUGCACAACUGACGCUCAGGCACGAAAGCGUGGGUAUCGAACAGGAUUAGAUACCCCGGUAGUC